GCGAGAAAACUUUGCAAUGUGCGAAAGCACGACAAGGUUAAUCCGAGUGGUUUCUGCUAAAGAAACCUUUUGUCAGUCCUAGAAACACUAACGAAUAAGGGGUGGGCAAGUUCUGGUGUCAGCCGCCGCGGUAAAACCAGCACCUCAAGUGGUCAGGAUGAUUAUUGGGCCUAAAGCAUCCGUAGCUCGUUUUGUAAGUUUUCGGUUAAAUCCAUGCGCUUAACGUAUGGGCUGCCGGGAAUACUGCAUAACUAGGAAGUGGGAGAGGUAGACGGUACUCGGUAGGAAGGGGUAAAAUCCUUUGAUCUAUUGAUGACCACCUGUGGCGAAGGCGGUCUACCAGAACACGUUCGACGGUGAGGGAUGAAAGCUGGGGGAGCAAACCGGAUUAGAUACCCUGGUAGUCCCUGAGCGGGCUGGCAAGGCGCAU
Molecule: ribosomal RNA, 430 nt
Filed under: uncultured bacterium
Lineage: Bacteria
Description: bacterial SSU rRNA
Rfam family: Archaeal small subunit ribosomal RNA
Source: RNAcentral